Long non-coding RNA from Saccostrea cuccullata (small rock oyster), 660 nucleotides. RefSeq lists it as uncharacterized. NCBI's taxonomy places the organism in Eukaryota, Metazoa, Mollusca, Bivalvia, Ostreida, Ostreidae. The record is from RefSeq and is a predicted model, not a curated record. The transcript has 3 exons.
UGGACUUUUCUUCUUCAUUUUGUUGCUUCUUCACACAGUAGAGGGAAACACACAGGUCGGAACUUGUAAAAGAUUGUUACAGGGCUACCUUACAGGACAACUUUCUUCUGCUUUAGAGAUAGAAUCUCUCAAGCAGGAAUUCAGAAGGUUCACAGAUGUUAUUGAGAAAUCUGUGAAAAAAUUAGAGGGACGGGUUAAUGCAGGUCUCAGAACAGAAGAUGAGAGAAAGAAAAGAAGUGUUUACACAAGAUGGGGGAAGAAAAAGUGUCCCUCUGAUGCAGAGUUAGUGUUUUCUGGAUUUGCUGCAGGGUCAUAUCCUUCCAACAGACUUGUGAAUGUGGAAACUAUUUGUAUACCAAAAGACCCGGAGUGGGGGAUCAAAUUGAAUUAUCUGGAUAGACAAUCUAACUGGGGAGCCAACCUUUAUGGUGCAACUUACAAGUAUUCGUAUAAAGAUCAGGGUGUUCCCUGUGCUGUUUGUUUGGUUAAAAAUAGAUCUAUAACAAAAGUAUUUCCAGGUGAGAAACAUAUUACAAUAAAUUUUUUUUAAGUAACCAAAAAAUAAGAAGAAGAAAAAGUCAGAAAUACUACUUAUUAGGACAAAAUAAAAAAAACUAUAGAACUUCACUGGUACAUGUAUAUAGAAAAUGUCCUUUUUCA